This 34-nucleotide ribosomal RNA is filed under the name Olea europaea subsp. cuspidata. Its description in RNAcentral is "partial 18S ribosomal RNA". The record is from RNAcentral. Lineage: Eukaryota; Viridiplantae; Streptophyta; Magnoliopsida; Lamiales; Oleaceae.
GGUUUUCGUAGGUAAACCUGCGAAAGGAUCACUG